GUUAUAGGGUCAAGCGAACAAGUGCAUGUGGUGGAUGCCUUGGCGAUCACAGGCGAUGAA
RNAcentral lists this ribosomal RNA (60 nucleotides) under Paraburkholderia sp. 31.1. RNAcentral describes it as "partial 23S ribosomal RNA". Lineage: Bacteria; Pseudomonadati; Pseudomonadota; Betaproteobacteria; Burkholderiales; Burkholderiaceae. The record is from RNAcentral.